CAAGGAGGACAUUNCCCAGU
This 20-nucleotide ribosomal RNA is filed under the name Pyricularia grisea. Its description in RNAcentral is "partial 18S ribosomal RNA". Lineage: Eukaryota; Fungi; Ascomycota; Sordariomycetes; Magnaporthales; Pyriculariaceae. The record is from RNAcentral.